RNAcentral lists this non-coding RNA (29 nucleotides) under Cricetulus griseus (Chinese hamster). Lineage: Eukaryota; Metazoa; Chordata; Mammalia; Rodentia; Cricetidae. The record is from RNAcentral.
UAUCAGACUGCUAUGCUCUCCUCAAGGUG